Mauremys reevesii (Reeves's turtle) is the source of this 1110-nucleotide long non-coding RNA. RefSeq lists it as uncharacterized. NCBI's taxonomy places the organism in Eukaryota, Metazoa, Chordata, Testudines, Geoemydidae. The record is from RefSeq and is a predicted model, not a curated record. The transcript is spliced from 3 exons.
UUCCUAAAUGCUCAUCAGAUCUCGAGUGCCCUGGGGAGGGAAGAGGCUAUUAAAGCAGGAAUUCUAAUAUCAUUUCAGUGAAAUCCUCAGCGCUGAAAGCCAGCUCCUCCCAUGUGCUGCUGACUUGACAGGAGCACCUAGACCAAGAUUGCACUCUGCAGGCCAUUGCACAGAUAGAAUAAAUCACCCAUUUUGGGGGCAGAAACAAAGCAUGCUGUGGAGGGACACCUAGCCAGAGCUAGCAAGAGGAGAUGGAACCCAGCAGAAAAGCCAAACUGGAAAGGAGAAAGCAGGUGCCAAGGCUCUGAAGCAAUCCUCUCCUUCCCUGCACAUGCUGCUUAAUGCGCUGAGCUCACACUUGCAAGGUUGCCAGCUUUGAAAGGAAGAUCCAGGACUGGCCCUUCCAUCUGCAUGGUGCCCAGCCCCAUUGCUCUUCUAGAAUGUUCCGAGGUUCUACAACUGUCAGUAGUGAUAGCUGCCAUCUCCCAGGCAUUGGCAAUGCAGAGUGCCCUACUGGAACUGCAUUAUUAUUUUAAUAAAACACGAGUCCCUCCAGUAAGCUGAUCAAUGACAACUACAAAAGCAUGUGACUAGAAUAAGGCUACUGGUUUGGGAUGGGUCUGUUGGGUCACCACUCUCCUGAGAUUCCUCUGGACGUUUACCAUGCAAAUGGACAACAUUUCAACAAGACAGACAGCAAAGAGCCAAAGGGCCAGCGCCCAGAGGAAGCAGCAGACAAACUCAGAGUUUGUUUUGGAAACAAGAACUGGAGGAGCAAAGAACCUGAACCUUCACCAAAAGCGAGCUGCCUGUUUGGAAGACUGCAAAGCAGGUGCCGCAGUAUGUUUGUGCUCAUCUCUCCUGGAGCAGAGAAAGUGAGAUACAUUCAUUGAAUCAAAAAGAGACUGAGAUUAAGGCAGUUUCAAUGGUGUUUUCCACAAUCCCAUGCUAACUCAUUACUACCUUGUUCAAAAAGAUUACAAAAUACAGAAGGAUACUAUUAAUUAUGCUAUUGGAGAUUGGAACCCCAGGGACUGCAAUAUAAAAGGUGUUCAAGGUCUGGUUGAAACUGAAACACCACCAGGACAAUAAAGCUUCAUUUUAACCACC